RNAcentral lists this transfer RNA (73 nucleotides) under Chitinispirillales bacterium. RNAcentral's name for it is "tRNA-Trp". It matches the Rfam family "tRNA". Rfam says of the family: Transfer RNA (tRNA) molecules are approximately 80 nucleotides in length. Their secondary structure includes four short double-helical elements and three loops (D, anti-codon, and T loops). Lineage: Bacteria; Pseudomonadati; Fibrobacterota; Chitinispirillia; Chitinispirillales. The record is from RNAcentral.
AGGUCCGUAGCUCAAUUGGUAGAGUAGCGGUCUCCAAAACCGCCUGCUGGGGGUUCGAGUCCCUCCGGGCCUG